UGAUUUGAAUGUGAUCGACCA
This 21-nucleotide non-coding RNA is filed under the name Caenorhabditis elegans. The record is from RNAcentral. Lineage: Eukaryota; Metazoa; Nematoda; Chromadorea; Rhabditida; Rhabditidae.